GUCGAGCGGCAGCGGGUCCUUCGGGAUGCCGGCGAGCGGCGGACGGGUGAGUAAUGCCUAGGAAUCUGCCUGAUAGUGGGGGAUAACGUUCGGAAACGGACGCUAAUACCGCAUACGUCCUACGGGAGAAAGCGGGGGAUCUUCGGACCUCGCGCUAUCAGAUGAGCCUAGGUCGGAUUAGCUAGUUGGUGAGGUAAUGGCUCACCAAGGCGACGAUCCGUAACUGGUCUGA
RNAcentral lists this ribosomal RNA (232 nucleotides) under Pseudomonas sp. LT72. RNAcentral describes it as "partial 16S ribosomal RNA". It matches the Rfam family "Bacterial small subunit ribosomal RNA", at positions 61 to 295 of the family's 1533-position model. The record is from RNAcentral. Lineage: Bacteria; Pseudomonadati; Pseudomonadota; Gammaproteobacteria; Pseudomonadales; Pseudomonadaceae.